RNAcentral lists this ribosomal RNA (515 nucleotides) under uncultured bacterium. RNAcentral's name for it is "bacterial SSU rRNA". It matches the Rfam family "Bacterial small subunit ribosomal RNA", at positions 28 to 532 of the family's 1533-position model. The record is from RNAcentral.
GAUGAACGCUAGCGAUAGGCCUAACACAUGCAAGUCGAGGGGCAUCACAUGAAGUAGCAAUACGGAUGGUGGCGACCGGCGCACGGGUGAGUAACACGUAUGCAACCUGCCUUCAACAAGGGGAUAACCCGUUGAAAGACGGACUAAUACCCUAUAACACAGGGGUCCCGCAUGGGGAUAUUUGUUAAAGGACAACCGGUUGAAGAUGGGCAUGCGUUCCAUUAGCUAGUUGGCGGGGUAAGGCCCACCAAGGCAACGAUGGAUAGGGGAACUGAGAGGUUUAUCCCCCACACUGGUACUGAGACACGGACCAGACUCCUACGGGAGGCAGCAGUGAGGAAUAUUGGUCAAUGGACGCAAGUCUGAACCAGCCACGUCGCGUGAAGGAAGACGGCCCUACGGGUUGUAAACUUCUUUUGCAAGGGAAUAAAGUGGGCCACGUGUGGCCUUUUGCAAGUACCUUGCGAAUAAGGAUCGGCUAACUCCGUGCUAGCAGCCGCGGUAAAUCGCAGCGA